RNAcentral lists this ribosomal RNA (1400 nucleotides) under Candidatus Anderseniibacteriota bacterium. RNAcentral's name for it is "bacterial LSU rRNA". It matches the Rfam family "Bacterial large subunit ribosomal RNA", at positions 863 to 1952 of the family's 2925-position model. Lineage: Bacteria; Candidatus Anderseniibacteriota. The record is from RNAcentral.
AAUAGCUUUAGGGCUAGCCUUGUGUAUUAACGUUGAGUGGUAGAGCACUGCUAGGGCUCUUCGGGCUUUACGCUCGAGACCCUCGCAAACUCCGAAUGCUUGACGCAGAAACACAGGAGUCAGAACGUGGGGGCUAAGCUCCACGCUCAAAAGGGAAACAGCCCAGAUCGCAGCUUAAGGUCCCAAAAUUCUAUCUUAGUGGUAAAGGUGGUGGCGUUGCUUAAACAGCGAGGCAGUUGGCUUAGAAGCAGCCAUCUGUUAAAGAAAGCGUAACAGCUCACUCGUCAAGCGACGCUGCGCCGAAGAUUCAACGGGGCUCAAGAUAGAUACCGAAAGCGCGGAUGCUGAUGCCUUGCGUUGGGAAUGACCAAGCACCAAUGACCAAUGACCAAUCAAUGACCAAGCACCAAUGACCAAUGACGACAUGUAGUCGUUUUGGACAUUUGGUAAUUGGGACCUGCCUGACGGCAGGCAAGUUUGUUUGGGAUUUGGGAUUUGGAAAUUGGUAUUUCCGACGCAAAGCGUCGGCGUGGUAGAGGAGCGUUUCGUCCGUCCGCCCGUAAAAGGGCGUGACAUUGGCAUUGAAGCUUUACUGUAAGGUAAGGUGGAGCGGACGAAAGUGAGAAUGGUGGCAUGAGUAGCACGAAACAAGGUGAGAACCCUUGUCACCGAAAACCCGAGGUUUCCUGGGCAAUGUCGAUCAUCCCAGGGUUAGCCGGGCCUAAGGCGAGGCCGAAAGGCGUAGUCGAUGGACAGCAGGUUGAUAUUCCUGCGCCGGUUAGAUAGUUGAUAGGGUGUGACGGAAUGUCUGAAUUUGCCAGGGGAUAUGACUUUCCCUGCGCAGUAAAUGUAGUUGAAACUUCUAGGCAAAUCCGGAGGUUCGUCCCGCUCUGCGGGACAACAGCGAAUUACUGCGGGAGCGUGCGGCCGCAAGGCCAAACCUCUGCAGAGAACGACGUUUCCCGGAAAAGCAUCAUAUCAUUGUCUAUUUAGCCGUCCGUACCGCAAACCAACACAGGUGGGUAGGUGUAAACGCACUAAGGUGAUCGGGAUAACCCUCGUUAAGGAACUCGGCAAUACAGUGUCCGUACGUUCGCAAUAAGGACUGCCCAUACACUAGGCAUAGCCACGAAGUGGCUGUGCACAUUUUCUCUUUAAGAGAAAAUGUGAUGCCUAAUAGGUGUGUGGGCCACAGCAAACGACCCCUGGCGACUGUUUACCAAAAACACAGGUCCCUGCUAACUCGCAAGAGGAUGUAUAGGGGCUGACGCCUGGCCAGUGCUGGAACGUUAAUGUUCGCCGUGAAAGCGGUGAACCCAAGCGCCAGUGAACGCCGGCGAUAACUAUUAAGAUUAGUAGUUGUAAAAUUUGGCCAUAUGCUGGAAAACCUGAAGUAUCCU